Molecule: non-coding RNA, 78 nt
Organism: Dipodomys ordii (Ord's kangaroo rat)
Lineage: Eukaryota; Metazoa; Chordata; Mammalia; Rodentia; Heteromyidae
Source: Rfam
GUUUCUUUGGCAGUGUCUUAGCUGGUUGUUGUGAGUAUCAAUGAAGGAAGCAAUCAGCAAGUAUACUGCUCUAGAAGU